AUAUUUUCAUUGUUUAUUAUGGAAACUUUCAAACAUAUCCAAAAGUAGAGUGAACAAUAUGAUGAACUCCCAGGGUUCAUGAAUGACAAUCAACAUUGUUUUAUCUAUACUCCAACUUCCCCAGCCUUACCCCACUAGAUUUAUUAUUAUUAUUUGCUUUUUAAAACUGCUUUAUUAACUUCACAGUAUGUAAUGAGCAUCUUUCCAUGCAAUAGGUAAACUCCCCUGCUGACAGAAACUUACAAAUUGGGUCAAAACACAACAUUCAGUUAGAAACUGGAUUGAACACAUUGCUUUUUGGUAAGCUUAGAGUUUUAGAAAGAAGAAGGUGAGAGGUGACAUAACUAAGACUAAAUAUAGGGGUGGCCCAGAACUGCAAGAAGGGUGUCCUGAAGGUUAAUGCCCAGCAUAAGCUAAGGUCUGAAGAAAAGACUGAGGACGGACAAUAAAAUGCUCUAGAGCAGUGGU
This is a long non-coding RNA of Myotis brandtii (Brandt's bat), 468 nucleotides long. RefSeq lists it as uncharacterized. Lineage: Eukaryota; Metazoa; Chordata; Mammalia; Chiroptera; Vespertilionidae. The record is from RefSeq and is a predicted model, not a curated record. The transcript has 3 exons.